This 253-nucleotide ribosomal RNA is filed under the name uncultured bacterium. Its description in RNAcentral is "partial 16S ribosomal RNA". It matches the Rfam family "Bacterial small subunit ribosomal RNA", at positions 524 to 776 of the family's 1533-position model. The record is from RNAcentral.
UACGUAGGGUGCGAGCGUUGUCCGGAAUUAUUGGGCGUAAAGGGCUCGUAGGCGGUUUGUCGCGUCGGGAGUGAAAACCCAGGGCUUAACUCUGGGCUUGCUUUCGAUACGGGCAGACUAGAGGUAUGCAGGGGAGAACGGAAUUCCUGGUGUAGCGGUGAAAUGCGCAGAUAUCAGGAGGAACACCGGUGGCGAAGGCGGUUCUCUGGGCCGAUAUUGACGCUGAGGAGCGAAAGCGUGGGGAGCGAACAGG